This 869-nucleotide ribosomal RNA is filed under the name uncultured archaeon. RNAcentral's name for it is "bacterial SSU rRNA". It matches the Rfam family "Archaeal small subunit ribosomal RNA", at positions 1 to 879 of the family's 1478-position model. The record is from RNAcentral.
CUCCGGUUGAUCCCGCCGGACCCGACUGCUAUCAGAGUGAGAUUAAGCCAUGCGAGUUAACGUAGCAAUACGUGGCGCACGGCUCAGUAACACGUAGUCAACAUGCCCAGAGGACGUGGAUAACCUCGGGAAACUGAGUCUAAACCGCGAUAAGUGAGGAUUUCUGGAAUGGUUCCUGACUAAAAUCUAUAUGGCCUCUGGAUUGGACUGCGGCCGAUCAGGCUGUUGGUGAGGUAAUGGCCCACCAAACCUGUAACCGGUACGGGCUCUGAGAGGAGGAGCCCGGAGAUGGGCACUGAGACAAGGGCCCAGGCCCUAUGGGGCGCAGCAGGCGCGAAACCUCUGCAAUAGGCGAAAGCCUGACAGGGUUACUCUGAGUGACUUUCGCUAAGAAAGUCUUUUGGCACCUCUAAAAAGGGUGCAGAAUAAGGGGUGGGCAAGUCUGGUGUCAGCCGCCGCGGUAAUACCAGCACCCCGAGUGGUCGGGACGAUUAUUGGGCCUAAAGCAUCCGUAGCCGGUUCUGCAAGUCUUCCGUUAAAUCCAGCUGCUCAACAGAUGGGCUGCGGGAGAUACUACAGGGCUAGGAGGCGGGAGAGGCAAGCGGUACUUUAUGGGUAGGGGUAAAAUCCGCUGAUCCAUAGAAGACCACCAGUGGCGAAGGCGGCUUGCCAGAACGCGCUCGACGGUGAGGGAUGAAAGCUGGGGGAGCAAACCGGAUUAGAUACCCGGGUAGUCCCAGCUGUAAACGAUGCAGACUCGGUGAUGGGUUGGCCUCGCGCCUGCCCAGUGCCGCAGGGAAGCCGUUAAGUCUGCCGCCUGGGGAGUACGGUCGCAAGACUGAAACUUAAAGGAAUUGGCGGGGGAGCCA